Molecule: ribosomal RNA, 459 nt
Filed under: uncultured bacterium
Lineage: Bacteria
Description: partial 16S ribosomal RNA
Rfam family: Bacterial small subunit ribosomal RNA
Source: RNAcentral
CCUACGGGGGGCUGCAGUGAGGAAUAUUGGUCAAUGGCCGCAGGGCUGAACCAGCCAAGUCGCGUGAGGGAUGACGGUCCUAUGGAUUGUAAACCUCUUUUGUCAGGGAGCAAAGGGCGCCACGUGUGGCGCUUUGCGAGUACCUGAAGAAAAAGCAUCGGCUAACUCCGUGCCAGCAGCCGCGGUAAUACGGAGGAUGCGAGCGUUAUCCGGAUUUAUUGGGUUUAAAGGGUGCGCAGGCGGAAUGUCAAGUCAGCGGUAAAAUUUCGGGGCUCAACCCCGUCGUGCCGUUGAAACUGGCGUUCUUGAGUGAGCGAGAAGUAUGCGGAAUGCGUGGUGUAGCGGUGAAAUGCAUAGAUAUCACGCAGAAGUCCGAUUGCGAAGGCAGCAUACCGGCGCUCAACUGACGCUCAUGCACGAAAGCGUGGGUAUCGAACAGGAUUAGAUACCCCUGUAGUC